Molecule: ribosomal RNA, 379 nt
Filed under: uncultured eukaryote
Lineage: Eukaryota
Description: partial 18S ribosomal RNA
Rfam family: Eukaryotic small subunit ribosomal RNA
Source: RNAcentral
CAAUAGCGUAUAUUAAAGUUGUUGCAGUUAGAACGCUCGUAGUCGGAUUUCGGGGCGGGCCGACCGGUCUGCCGAUGGGUACGCACUGGUCGGCGCGUCCUUCCUUCCGGAGACCGUGCCUACUCUUAACUGAGCGGGGGCGGGAGACGGAUCGUUUACUUUGAAAAAAUCAGAGUGUUUCAAGCAGGCAGCUCGCUCUUGCAUGGAUUAGCAUGGGAUAAUGAAAUAGGACUUUGGUGCUAUUUUGUUGGUUUCGAACACCGAAGUAAUGAUUAACAGGGACAGUCAGGGGCACUCGUAUUCCGCCGAGAGAGGUGAAAUUCUCAGACCAGCGGAAGACGAACCACUGCGAANGNAUUUGCNAGGGAUGCUUNCACUG